Molecule: ribosomal RNA, 1170 nt
Filed under: Bacillus amyloliquefaciens
Lineage: Bacteria; Bacillati; Bacillota; Bacilli; Caryophanales; Bacillaceae
Description: bacterial SSU rRNA
Rfam family: Bacterial small subunit ribosomal RNA
Source: RNAcentral
UCAGCGGACAGAUGGGAGCUUGCUCCCUGAUGUUAGCGGCGGACGGGUGAGUAACACGUGGGUAACCUGCCUGUAAGACUGGGAUAACUCCGGGAAACCGGGGCUAAUACCGGAUGGUUGUUUGAACCGCAUGGUUCAGACAUAAAAGGUGGCUUCGGCUACCACUUACAGAUGGACCCGCGGCGCAUUAGCUAGUUGGUGAGGUAACGGCUCACCAAGGCGACGAUGCGUAGCCGACCUGAGAGGGUGAUCGGCCACACUGGGACUGAGACACGGCCCAGACUCCUACGGGAGGCAGCAGUAGGGAAUCUUCCGCAAUGGACGAAAGUCUGACGGAGCAACGCCGCGUGAGUGAUGAAGGUUUUCGGAUCGUAAAGCUCUGUUGUUAGGGAAGAACAAGUGCCGUUCAAAUAGGGCGGCACCUUGACGGUACCUAACCAGAAAGCCACGGCUAACUACGUGCCAGCAGCCGCGGUAAUACGUAGGUGGCAAGCGUUGUCCGGAAUUAUUGGGCGUAAAGGGCUCGCAGGCGGUUUCUUAAGUCUGAUGUGAAAGCCCCCGGCUCAACCGGGGAGGGUCAUUGGAAACUGGGGAACUUGAGUGCAGAAGAGGAGAGUGGAAUUCCACGUGUAGCGGUGAAAUGCGUAGAGAUGUGGAGGAACACCAGUGGCGAAGGCGACUCUCUGGUCUGUAACUGACGCUGAGGAGCGAAAGCGUGGGGAGCGAACAGGAUUAGAUACCCUGGUAGUCCACGCCGUAAACGAUGAGUGCUAAGUGUUAGGGGGUUUCCGCCCCUUAGUGCUGCAGCUAACGCAUUAAGCACUCCGCCUGGGGAGUACGGUCGCAAGACUGAAACUCAAAGGAAUUGACGGGGGCCCGCACAAGCGGUGGAGCAUGUGGUUUAAUUCGAAGCAACGCGAAGAACCUUACCAGGUCUUGACAUCCUCUGACAAUCCUAGAGAUAGGACGUCCCCUUCGGGGGCAGAGUGACAGGUGGUGCAUGGUUGUCGUCAGCUCGUGUCGUGAGAUGUUGGGUUAAGUCCCGCAACGAGCGCAACCCUUGAUCUUAGUUGCCAGCAUUCAGUUGGGCACUCUAAGGUGACUGCCGGUGACAAACCGGAGGAAGGUGGGGAUGACGUCAAAUCAUCAUGCCCCUUAUGACCUGGGCUA